AACUUUUUGAAUCAGUGCUGAGAUCUGGUCAGACACCAACCCAUUAGGACUGAUCAGACUUCCAAGAUAAGUGAAGUU
Non-coding RNA from Schistosoma rodhaini, 78 nucleotides. NCBI's taxonomy places the organism in Eukaryota, Metazoa, Platyhelminthes, Trematoda, Strigeidida, Schistosomatidae. The record is from Rfam.